RNAcentral lists this unclassified non-coding RNA (399 nucleotides) under soil metagenome. Its description in RNAcentral is "partial contains 5.8S ribosomal RNA, internal transcribed spacer 2, and large subunit ribosomal RNA". The stretch from base 1 to 122 matches the Rfam family "5.8S ribosomal RNA", at positions 35 to 154 of the family's 154-position model. The record is from RNAcentral.
GAUGAAGAACGUAGCGAAAUGCGAUACUUGGUGUGAAUUGCAGAAUCCCGUGAACCAUCGAGUCUUUGAACGCAAGUUGCGCCUCAAGCCAUUAGGUUGAGGGCACGUCUGCCUGGGCGUCACAUAUCGUUGCCUGAUGCCAGUUUCCUCGUGAUGGGUGACUGUGCAGGGCGAAUGAUGGCUUCCCGUGAGCAUUGUUGCCUCAUGGUUGGUUGAAAAUUGAGUCCUUGGUAGGGAGCGCCGUGAUAGAUGGUGGUUGAGUGACGAACGAGACCCAAUCAUGUGAGACCCCUACCGAAUUUGGCCUUCAUGACCCACAUGCGUCUUUGGAACGCUCAUGACGAGACCUCAGGUCAGGCGGGGCUACCCGCUGAGUUUAAGCAUAUCAAUAAGCGGAGA